CCUACGGGUGGCAGCAGUGGGGAAUAUUGCACAAUGGGGGGAACCCUGAUGCAGCAACGCCGCGUGGGUGAAGAAGUAUUUCGGUAUGUAAAGCCCUGUCAGCAGGGAAGAAAAUGACGGUACCUGACCAAGAAGCCCCGGCUAACUACGUGCCAGCAGCCGCGGUAAUACGUAGGGGGCAAGCGUUAUCCGGAUUUACUGGGUGUAAAGGGAGCGUAGACGGCAAGGCAAGUCUGGAGUGAAAGCCCGGGGCUCAACCCCGGGACUGCUUUGGAAACUGUGUUGCUGGAGUGCAGGAGGGGCAAGCGGAAUUCCGAGUGGAGCGGUGAAAUGCGUAGAUAUUAGGAGGAACACCAGUGGCGAAGGCGGCUUGCUGGACUGUAACUGACGUUGAGGCUCGAAGGCGUGGGGAGCAAACAGGAUUAGAUACCCGGGUAGUC
RNAcentral lists this ribosomal RNA (440 nucleotides) under uncultured bacterium. RNAcentral's name for it is "partial 16S ribosomal RNA". It matches the Rfam family "Bacterial small subunit ribosomal RNA", at positions 338 to 795 of the family's 1533-position model. The record is from RNAcentral.